This 253-nucleotide ribosomal RNA is filed under the name uncultured bacterium. RNAcentral describes it as "partial 16S ribosomal RNA". It matches the Rfam family "Bacterial small subunit ribosomal RNA", at positions 524 to 776 of the family's 1533-position model. The record is from RNAcentral.
UACGAAGGGGGCGAGCGUUGUUCGGAAUUACUGGGCGUAAAGGGCGCGUAGGCGGCCGAUCAAGUCAGAUGUGAAAGUCCUGGGCUUAACCUGGGGACUGCAUUUGAUACUGAUUGGCUUGAAUGCAGGAGAGGAUAGCGGAAUUCCCAGUGUAGAGGUGAAAUUCGUAGAUAUUGGGAAGAACACCGGUGGCGAAGGUGGCUCUCUGGACCGAGACUGACGCUGAGGCGCGAAAGCGUGGGGAGCAAACAGG